GACAGAGGGGGCAAGCGUUGCUCGGAAUUACUGGGCGUAAAGCGUGCGCAGACGGUUGCGUAAGUCAGAUGUGAAAGCCCCGGGCUCAACCUGGGAAUUGCAUUUGAGACUGCGUAGCUAGGGUGCGGAAGAGGGAGGCGGAAUUUCCGGUGUAGCGGUGAAAUGCGCAGAUAUCAGGAAGAACACCCGUGGCGAAGGCGGCUCUCUGGGACGGUACUGACGCUGAGACGCGAAAGCGUGGGGAGCGAACAGG
RNAcentral lists this ribosomal RNA (253 nucleotides) under uncultured bacterium. RNAcentral describes it as "partial 16S ribosomal RNA". It matches the Rfam family "Bacterial small subunit ribosomal RNA", at positions 524 to 776 of the family's 1533-position model. The record is from RNAcentral.